Molecule: ribosomal RNA, 498 nt
Filed under: uncultured Glomeromycotina
Lineage: Eukaryota; Fungi; Glomeromycota
Description: partial small subunit ribosomal RNA
Rfam family: Eukaryotic small subunit ribosomal RNA
Source: RNAcentral
CCAAUAGCGUAUAUUAAAGUUGUUGCAGUUAAAAAGCUCGUAGUUGAAUUUCGGAAUCAAUAUGUUGGUCGUGCCUUGGUACGUACUAAUUUAUUGGUUUCUUCCUUCUGACGAACCUUGAUGUCAUUAAUUUGGUGUCUUGGGGAAUCAGGACUGUUACUUUGAAAAAAUUUGAGUGUUUAAAGCAGGCUCACGCUUGAAUACAUUAGCAUGGAAUAAUGAAAUAGGACGCUUGAUUCUAUUUUGUUGGUUUCUAGGAUCGACGUAAUGAUUAAUAGGGAUAGUGGGGGGCAUUAGUAUUCAAUUGUCAGAGGUGAAAUUCUUGGAUUUAUUGAAGACUAACUACUGCGAAAGCAUUUGCCAAGGAUGUUUUCAUUAAUCAAGAACGAAAGUUAGGGGAUCGAAGACGAUCAGAUACCGUCGUAGUCUUAACCAUAAACUAUGCCGACUAGGGAUCGGAUGAUGUUAAUUUUUUAAUGACUCACUCGGCGCCUUACG